AACGCACCUUGCGCUCCUUGGUAUUCCGAGGAGCAUGCCUGUUUGAGUGUCAUGAAAUUCUCAACUGCCUUUUUAGCAUUUAUGUUAAGGGUGAAGUUGGAUUUGGAGGAUAAUUGCUGGCGCAACUCAGGUUGCUUGUUGGCUCCUCUUAAAUGGAUGAGCUUUUCUAAUGGAUCAUAAUAGGCUAGUAACACUAAUGUGAUAAUUAUCUACGUUAGAUGUGAAAGCUUGUGAGUAAGAGUAACUUCAAUUAUGGAGAAGGCUCCCUAUAGAAAAGGUUGUUAUUAAUAGUCUUGGGGAAAAAGUUCUUUGGACCCUUGAUGUUUUAAUAUAUAAUGACAAAUCUGACCUCAAAUCAGGUAGGACUACCCGCUGAACUUAA
This 382-nucleotide unclassified non-coding RNA is filed under the name Chalara sp. RNAcentral's name for it is "partial contains 5.8S ribosomal RNA, internal transcribed spacer 2, and large subunit ribosomal RNA". The stretch from base 1 to 52 matches the Rfam family "5.8S ribosomal RNA", at positions 103 to 154 of the family's 154-position model. RNAcentral also lists the same sequence under 3 other names. Lineage: Eukaryota; Fungi; Ascomycota; Leotiomycetes; Helotiales. The record is from RNAcentral.